AAGAAAUAGCAUACAUAUCACUUCUGUAGUGCUUUGGACUUUUAUAAAUGAUCUGUUACUACGUGAAAAAGAGUGAUACUGUAUAUUUUUAAAAUGUAUUCUUUUGUGUUCCACAGAAAGAAAAAAAACAGCAUUCAGGUUCGGAGGAGGGCGAGUAAAUAAUGAGCUAUUCCUUUAAGCCGAAACAGAGGAGGAGAGAGAGGGAUGAAUACAGAGGAGUCUAACCCUUCUGUUUAUUCGCUGCCGUUAGGUCUGCGCGUGUGCUUUACUCCCAUCACUCCCUCUCUUUCCCAUUGGCUGCUUCCCUCUCCCACACACAGACAGACACACACACACACGCAUGCACUGGCUCUGAGCUCAGACACCAGAGUUGACGUUCUCGAGCGGAGGUCGAGAGAGGGACAGAUGGGAUCCGCACACACACCGGAAAGAAGCACCGUGCAGCACUGAUCACGACCGACACACCGAGAAGAGAGGACAGCGAGACGGAGGAAAGAUGUUACAGGACGAACAGGACGGGAUUGAGAAACCUGAGCAUCGCAGAAGCUUCCUGAAGACGACAGCGAGAUCUCUUUUUAGUUUCCUGCUCUUCUGAAAAGGACAGUUUCAUCUCAUGCACUCGGAUCGAACUGGGAAGUUUCUGAUGUUCCAGUUCUGUACCUGCCUGAAGAAAAUGAUGAGGUGAAAGACACAAGCAAAGAAACUCAAGGACAAACAGAGAGAUAAAAGUCAGCUUGAAGAGAUGCAUUGCCUAGUCCUGGACUGUCAAGAUAUGCUACACCAGAGAGGAUUGUGCACACAAGCUUUGAGUUGGAAAGUAGGGCAAUAAAGGUGUCGGGACAUCCUCUCACUGGUCAUCCUGAAAACUGUAUUCCAUUAACAUUUUAUUUGCCUUGAUAUUUUUAGGACAAGCAUGGUUACAACUGCUGUGGACGUACACGGUGAGAGUUAUGUGACAUAAGAUUUUGCUCUUGGCUAUGAAACCAUGAUGCAGACCUCUGGGACAUACUCGCAAGCCUACCCUGCCAAAAUUUCAUGUUCUUCAGGACUUGCGCAAAGGAAGUAUAAACAAGGUUGCUCAUUGAUCGUUUAAGUGCCCCUGUGGACUAAUGGGGCUGAAGCUCAGGAUACACCCAGUCCCUCUUUUGGAUAUAAAGACACUUGCUUGUAAAGAUUCUUCGUGCCAAAACCAGAACCUACUCUGACAGCAUUACCACAAAGACUUACACAGAAACCCUCAGUCAUGUGACCUGAGGAAAGGACCAGUCACAUGCUCUGCUGCCGUCGGCUGGUCUGUUUUAUUUUAUUUUUUUUGUUACUGCAGCGUUUCUCAUGUUCAGAGUUUGCCAAAUGUCAAAAAUACUGUGUGCUGUAACUGAAUUUUGUAUCUAAUUAAUUGUUCAUUCACAUUUGACUUGUGAAAGCAGACGAAAAAAACCCACACAGUCAAAUUUUUAUUAACAUCUAUGGUCCAUAAACUACUCUUGGAUAACAUGGUGAGCAAAGAGCCCAACCAUUUGCCAACUAUUCACAGCCACAGCAAUGGCAACCCAGACAAAACACCCACCACCGUGACUGUGCGCUCAGUGCUCCUUAAUCGGAACUCUCCAGAUAUUGAAAGCAGACUUAAACGGAGACGAAAUCGCACACAGCAGGUACGAUUUAAAGAUUUGGAGGAUGACGAUAAGUCCAAGGAUAAAACUGAGAAAGCAAGAAGUAAAAGUCCAACAGAGGUUCCAAACUGGCAGAAAGAGUUGACAAACGGGCCCUCACUGGUAGGGGCAGUCCGUGGGGACAUGGAAAAGACAAUUGGAGCAGUGACAGCAUUUUUGAAGAGAGCGCCACCGCACCCUCUUACCCCUGGGCCUACAAGACGCUGCUGGGUCCCAACACAUCCAUGUUCGCUCACACUGCCUCUGCCAACUCAGCCAUGCAGGAGUACAGCCAUCCAAACCUCACCCAGUUUGCAGAAGCCUCCCUUGCUCUCUGCCACGCAGACUCGCAGUCAAAGCCUGGGAGGAGCCUGGGAUGAUGGAGACUCCUCAGAUGAGCUGACCACACAGGUCUACGUUCCACCUUGUAGAUCACAGAAGAGCUCUGUCCAACCUUGUACCCCUGCUGAGCAAUCAAGGUGCCAGAAAACUGAGGACAAUCAAACUGCCUCUGCGGGUACAUCAACACAAUUUCAGCCAUGUUCUGCAGCGCCACAAAAACAGUCUAGAAGGAGAGGUAGGAGGAAAUCUUUAAACAGAGCAGCAAGUGAUCCUGGGAAACCUGAGCCUUCUUGUACUUCUCCAACUAAAACUGUGCACAGGAGCCACCAACAGUCUAACCAACUAAAGAAGCUUCCAUCCAAAGUUGUGGCACACAGAACUACAUCAGAUAUUGUGCCACCGCAGAAUUCUCCUAAACCAAACACAGGUCAUAAUACGCCAUGUAGUGUCUCUUCAACAAAGGCUGAAUCAAGCAGUGAUUCAAAAAUCCAGACUGUGCCAGAUAACACCAGUUCCGAGGUAGACCCUGCAUCUUGUCCCUCUCACAUUGUACCCCCUCCAUCAACCACAUGUCCUAAAGAAGCGUCACAACGUUGCCCACUGCAGGCUGCUACGGAGAACGUCACUUUGACCCCCACUGUACCAGAUCCUACCACAGCACAAGUCAUAUGCACUGUCACCACAUCCUCAACACAUGGGCAAUCGUGCAUGUCUCCUGUUGAGUCUAGAGGGCGUUGUUGCACACCUGGUAUUCAGAAGACUCCUCCAGUGCCCGAGUCCCAAUGCAUUCCAGAUUCACAUACAGAUUCCACAACUCCUGCUCAAUCUGCGCCUUGUUUCCAGAUGUUGGAGGAAACCAUUCCAUGCUCCAACACAGCUGGCUCCAAGGCAGCAUCCUGUUCUCAAGGAGCACCUGCAGUUGCCUCUAUAUUCAGUUCCACACAGCAAUGCCAGAAGACAACACAACCCAUGGCAUGUGGUAACACCUCAAAUCAAUCUGUGUACUCUGUGAUAACUCCAACACAACCUGUAACUCCCAUUCAGUCUGUGCCAAGAUGUAUGAGUCCUAAACAGAAUGAGCCAUUGGGUAGGACCUCUACCCUUCCUGUACAAACUCCUAUAUCAGCCACACAGACUCCAGCACCUGUUCAGCCUUCAACAUCUUGUAAAAUUCCAAUGCAGUCUAUACCAUGCUGUGUCAAAGACAAACCAGCAACCUUUGGCUCUCCCACGCAACCUAUGGCAUCUCAUAAGAUUCUUACACAAACCCUCCCUCACAAUUUGGUGCCAUUUUCUCCCGAGCCAUCCUGUGCCGCUACCCCUCACUCCGCUUCACACUUUAAGGGCCCCGUUGCAGUUCCAGCACACGCCAUUCCUGUUGCACAAAAUGCACUACAUUGCAUUUUGGAUCAACAGAAUGUGGCAACCCAUGUCACUCCCUCCAUCCCAGUUCUAAUUUGUAGCCCUUCCACACAACCUGCACCAGGUAAACUUUCUGUCCAAGCAUUGCCACACUGCAACACUAGUAUACAAAACGCAGUGUCUUGCAGUAAUCCCUCUCAAAUCGUGCAACACUUUAAGACUCCUACUCAAUCAGUAUCGCAUUCCAAAUCAUUUCCACAAAACAUGUCACCUGUUCUCUGUCCACGUGAGGCAAUGAUGUAUGCUAACAAACCCCAGGAAACUGUGCUUCCCUCUGCUAAUUUCCGGCAUUCUUUACCUCCUUACGCCUGCCCUCCACAGACUACUCUGCUGUACUCUAAUGCUGGGGCGAGCCCCUCCCCUCCUCAGGCCUUCUGCUGCACUCAGGACAGACGAGAAAGGAGAGAGUUCAUGCUUCCUCCCCCUCCACCUCCUCCUCCUCCGUACACUCCUCGCAAAGAGGGCUCCUCUACUCCUGGACAGCCCCGUAAGCCUCCUGUCCCCAAAGCUGAGAGCAACAACGCCGAAAAGGACAGAGUGAAAACUGGGGUAGUGAAGCCAAAUGCUGAAGCAGGAACUCACUAUCAGGCGGGUGAAACGCCACCUCCUAUCCCUCCCAAAACUAAGGCAAGAGCUACAGUGAGGCCCACCUGUUUAGGUGGCCGACGGGCGAUUCUCGGCCCAGAAUCCCAGGCCAGUGCAAACCACUUGCCUCCUGCCGGUGGGACAAAUCCCCAGGCCCCCCUUGGACCAGCGGAAGGCCAAGCGGACACUCUGCGACAGGUGCAGGAGCUACUGGGGGGGCUUAUGUCUGGGGCUAAGUGUAAGCUGGACCUGGCAAAGGCAAAAGAGAAACUGUUUGGCCCAAACGGCCCUCUGUACGACAUUGGGGCUCUGCAGUCUCAGCUGCAUAGCCUGGAAGGGGUGUUGGAGACCAGCCAGAACACCAUCAAGGUUUUACUGGACGUCAUUCAGGAUCUGGAGAAGAAGGAGGCAGAGAGAGAUGGCUGAUGUCACCAAGCCCUCUUAUUUUUCAUCCCCUUCCCUCCAUCUGCAUGACUCCAUUCUGGCUAAUCGGAGUAGGCGUUGUCCAUAAGGCCUCGUCCAGGACCAGUCUCCUCAACCCCAGCCCUAAUGUAAUCGCGAGGAGGAAACUGAUCAGGGAUCAGAGGAUUCAGGGUUAUUUUACAUCAACACAGAUGGCGGUGGGUGACGAGGCUGGAGUGUGGCUCAUUCCAUCCACGUCAGAGCCCAGAGAACACAAACAAGGCCGUGGAUCAGCCGGGCUCCUGAUAUCUCUAAGCUCGGGCUUACGCAGCCAUCGGAGGUCUGGAGCGGCCAACUCAACAGAUUGGAUAAUCAGACGCUGCUGCUGUCAGAUGUAAUCGAGCACAAAUAAGACACUCAUACCGAACGGGACAGGACAUUGAGAACUGUGGCACAUGCAGAGACUGCGCCUGUAUUAUAUACAGUGUGGAGCAUGACUUCCGUCUUCAGGAAGGUCAGGUGACGCGAGCGU
Molecule: RNA transcript, 4935 nt
Organism: Puntigrus tetrazona (Sumatra barb)
Lineage: Eukaryota; Metazoa; Chordata; Actinopteri; Cypriniformes; Cyprinidae
Gene name: proteoglycan 4
Exons: 6
Source: RefSeq, a predicted model, not a curated record